GGGUGAAAUCUAGCCCUCCUGAAGUCAAUGGUAGUUUUGUCAUUGACUUCAGUAGGACCAGGAGUUCACCU
This 71-nucleotide microRNA precursor is filed under the name Pelodiscus sinensis (Chinese soft-shelled turtle). RNAcentral describes it as "miRNA (ENSPSIG00000020314.1)". Lineage: Eukaryota; Metazoa; Chordata; Testudines; Trionychidae. The record is from RNAcentral.